Molecule: transfer RNA, 73 nt
Filed under: Acropora cervicornis
Lineage: Eukaryota; Metazoa; Cnidaria; Anthozoa; Scleractinia; Acroporidae
Description: tRNA-Ser
Rfam family: tRNA
About the family: Transfer RNA (tRNA) molecules are approximately 80 nucleotides in length. Their secondary structure includes four short double-helical elements and three loops (D, anti-codon, and T loops).
Source: RNAcentral
GGCCUGAUAACUUAACUGGUAGAGCACUGCACUGGAAUUGCAGAGGUUGGGGUUUGAAUACCCGUUCAGGCCU